AUGAGAUGUGCGGCACAUAUUGUCAACCUUAUUGUACAAGAUGGCCUAAAAGAAGUUGAACUUUCAAUCAAACGUGUCCGAGCUGCUGUGCGAUACAUCAAGAAUGGGACUUCUCGGUUGGUAAAAUUCAAAGAGCUAGCAUUGGAAGAAAAAGUUAAGAGCAAAGCAUUCUUGAACCUAGAUGUAUGCACUCGGUGGAACUCAACUUACAUAAUGUUGAAGGCUGCCAUCACCUACGCGAAGGUGUUUACAAGGUACUGUGAGGAUGACCCAUUGUAUGCGUUGGACUUGUCUGAAGAAAAAGGAGGAUUUGGGUAUCCAGAUGAAAUGGAUUGGGAAAAUGCUAGGAAAAUGGCUGCCUUUCUUGCUCAUUUUUAUGAUCUUACUGUUCGUGUGUCAUCCUCACUUCAUGUCACUUCCAACAACUUUCUUUUCGAGGUUGGCACUAUACACAUAUUGGUUCAAAAUUGGAUGAGCAGUACAGAUCCUUUGCAAAAAGCUAUGGCAGAGAGGAUGAAAGAAAAGUUUGACAAAUACUGGGGGUCUUGGCAUGAGAAUGAAAAGGUGAAGGAUAAGGGUCCUAUUGUAAAUGAAAGAGGGAAAGGGAAGAAGAAGGAGAAGGAGGAGAAGGAGAAGGAAAAUCUCAACUUGCUCAUUUUUAUUGCUGCAGCUCUUGAUCCAAGGUAUAAGCUUUCUGAUUUCACUAGGCUCACUACUUUGGAAAUAUUUGGUGUUGAGUCUGGAGAGAAGGUGUGGUAUGCUGUCAACAAAUGUGUUCGCGAGUUGUUUGAAGAAUACCGAGUAAGAUUGACUACACCAGAACCAACAACACCAGCCAUUAGCCAAGUAACAAUAGAAGGAGGAGGAGCAAGUAUGAUGAAGGAACUAAUUGCAAGUAGGUUGAGGCAAAAUAAUAGUGGAGGAAGUGCAAGUAGUAAAUCUGAGCUUGAAAAAUACCUUGCUGAAGACUCUGAAGACCCUGACAAAAAAAUUGACAUCCUAGGAUGGUGGAAAGAGAAUUCAUAUAGGUUUCCAAUCUUGGCAAAUAUGGCUCGUGAUAUUCUUGCUAUCCCCAUUACAACUGUGGCUUCUGAGUCUGCCUUUAGCACAAGUGGACGCAUACUUGAUGACUUUAGGACAUCUCUAACUCCGUUUAUGGUGCAAGCUUUAGUUUGUACGCAAGACUGGCUGAGAAGGUCAACAGAUCCGGUCGACAUCAAGGAGAACUUGGAAGAAUUAGAAGUGCUAGAAAAAGAGUUGAUUGAAGAAUUUGGUGACAAGGUGAAGGGAAAGCGCAAGUUCAAUGGUGAUGGUGUUGCUUCUUCCAUGGCCAAGUCAAACAAGUGUGCAAGUCGACCAACAAAGUGA
Molecule: ribosomal RNA, 1368 nt
Filed under: Triticum aestivum (bread wheat)
Lineage: Eukaryota; Viridiplantae; Streptophyta; Magnoliopsida; Poales; Poaceae
Description: partial small subunit ribosomal RNA
Source: RNAcentral